Molecule: long non-coding RNA, 547 nt
Organism: Oreochromis aureus
Lineage: Eukaryota; Metazoa; Chordata; Actinopteri; Cichliformes; Cichlidae
Exons: 2
Source: RefSeq, a predicted model, not a curated record
GGAUUCACUGAUGGAAGUGAAUAACUUCACCGUGCUUCUGCAAAUGCAUGCAAAUCUAACGAAAAUGUUUUCCCUCUCCAGUUUUCAGCAGUAAGUUUCCUGCCAGAGCUGCCUACCAAGUCGCUGCUCUCCCCAGAGGUGGGCUGGUGGAAAUCGAGGCGAUCGCUGUUCUCGGUCCUCUCUCCGACUCCUGACUAGCCGGCCGCAUAACUAACAAGCUGUAGCGCCACCAAGUGUCAUUAUAGAUUCACUGUGGAAGCCUGAUUGUAUUUCCAGAGAACACCUGAAGAGCCACAUUGAAUUUCAACAUAGUCUUUUUCAGUGUUUCAAGAUUUAAAUUUCCAACAGAGCAACAUUCAGUUGUUAAUACCUCACAGCCUGCUCAUUAAACGGAGAGUAGGGAUACAGUAGGACUGGACACAACAUCAAGCCUCUUGGCUUCUGGUUUGAUAACUUCACUCAUUUAAAAAAAAGGAAAAAUGCUGUAACACAUCAGUGUGACAUGUUUGCUUUCAUCCUGCAUCAAAUUAAAACACAGAGAAUAUGU